This 393-nucleotide ribosomal RNA is filed under the name uncultured bacterium. RNAcentral describes it as "bacterial SSU rRNA". It matches the Rfam family "Bacterial small subunit ribosomal RNA", at positions 30 to 418 of the family's 1533-position model. The record is from RNAcentral.
AUUGAACGCUGGCGGCAUGCCUUACACAUGCAAGUCGAACGGCAGCACGGGAGCUUGGCUCCUGGUGGCGAGUGGCGAACGGGUGAGUAAUACAUCGGAACGUACCCUGAAGUGGGGGAUAACGUAGCGAAAGUUACGCUAAUACCGCAUAUUCUGUGAGCAGGAAAGAGGGGGAUCGCAAGACCUCUUGCUUGAGGAGCGGCCGAUGUCGGAUUAGCUAGUUGGUGAGGUAAAGGCUCACCAAGGCGACGAUCCGUAGCGGGUCUGAGAGGAUGAUCCGCCACACUGGGACUGAGACACGGCCCAGGACUCCUACGGGAGGCAGCAGUGGGGAAUUUUGGGACAAUGGGCGCAAGCCUGAUCCAGCCAUGCCGCGUGAGUGAAGAAGGCCUU